AUUGAACGCUGGCGGCAGGCUUAACACAUGCAAGUCGAGCGGAGAGAGGUAGCUUGCUACUGAUCUUAGCGGCGGACGGGUGAGUAAUGCUUAGGAAUCUGCCUAUUAGUGGGGGACAACAUUUCGAAAGGAAUGCUAAUACCGCAUACGUCCUACGGGAGAAAGCAGGGGAUCUUCGGACCUUGCGCUAAUAGAUGAGCCUAAGUCGGAUUAGCUAGUUGGUGGGGUAAAGGCCUACCAAGGCGACGAUCUGUAGCGGGUCUGAGAGGAUGAUCCGCCACACUGGGACUGAGACACGGCCCAGACUCCUACGGGAGGCAGCAGUGGGGAAUUUUGGACAAUGGGGGAACCCUGAUCUAGCCACGCCGCGUGUGUGAAGAAGGCCUUAUGGUUGUAAAGCACUUUAAGCGAGGAGGAGGCUCUUUUGGUUAAUACCCAAGAUGAGUGGACGUUGCUCGCAGAAUAAGCACCGGCUAACUCUGUGCCAGCCGCCGCGGUAA
This 500-nucleotide ribosomal RNA is filed under the name uncultured bacterium. RNAcentral's name for it is "partial 16S ribosomal RNA". It matches the Rfam family "Bacterial small subunit ribosomal RNA", at positions 30 to 523 of the family's 1533-position model. The record is from RNAcentral.